This is a long non-coding RNA of Gorilla gorilla gorilla (western lowland gorilla), 676 nucleotides long. RefSeq lists it as uncharacterized. The record is from RefSeq and is a predicted model, not a curated record. Lineage: Eukaryota; Metazoa; Chordata; Mammalia; Primates; Hominidae. The transcript has 2 exons.
GGUGUAGAAUGGGGGUUGACCUCCGAGCGGUUAGAGGUGGCACCACAAAGCCACUUCCACACCCUGGAAUCUACCUUGACAGCCAACCUUGGCGCUAGAAAAGGCGCAGAUGCGUGGUCGCAAACUGAUUUCCAAGUCCGUUGUCUGAUGCUGCGAGACACUAUCCGUUUGUUACAGCGAACUGGGGGCCGAUGACGCUGGAGGUGGAAGAAGCCACGGUUCUGUUUCUUAACGGCGAAUUAGCCUGCGGACUUCCUGUCAUUCCCUUGCCUUUCAGCGUCCCAACUUAGCAAAACUCCGCGUUGAGGGUGUUCUGAGUAGGUUUUGUCUACCCUGAAACGCUUUGUGUCGACAUUCCACCAGGUCUGUUCCACGGUCCAAACUUCUCUACCUUUUUGGACCCUCUAGAAUUGUGUUACGAUUAGUAGUAUAUUGUGUCGAGAGUCUGGGAUCUUUGAUGUUAGUUAUAUUCCCUGGCUGUUUAUGCCAAAGGGAAAUCCAAAUAGUAAUUUAUUACGUACAUUACGUAUAAUUCAAAUUAAAAUUUUGUAAGAACGGUUGCCAGCCACGCUACCCUACAUGCCUGCUGUGUAUCUUCUCGGCGUCCCUCAAUUCUGUUUUGCUUCCCGAAGUACUUGAGCCCUUUCCGUCAUAAAAAGUAAAGAUGAAAAAUAUA